UGCACGUGUAUGUAUGGGUAUGUGGAAGCCAAAAGUCAGUAUCAGGUGUCUUCCUCAAAAACUCUUUACAUUUUUGUAUGGAGAGGGCAUCUAUGUCUCCAUGUGUGGACACAUAUAUGUGGUGCAUGUGUAUGUCAAGGCCAGACAUUCUCACUGGGAUUACAGACAUGCCAUCAUGUUCACCCAACAAUCGUGUUGGUGUUGGAGACUAUAGGUCUCAUAUAGUAUGGCGAAUGCUCUGCCCACUAAACCAUCUCCUUGAUCCAAGAAGUUAGGGGUUAUUUUGUUUGUUUCGCACUGCUGGGGAUUGAACUGUAGGCAGGCAGGCUGGGUCAGAGUUCCACAGUGAGCAAGAUCCUCAUGGUCUCUCACGGAUCUGGGAGCACAUUAAUCAACGAGGCUAGCCUGUCCGUGAGCUCCAGAGAUCUACCUGUCUCCCUCUCUUCAGCACCGGCUUACAGGCCUGCACUACUGUGCCCUGUUUUUAUGUGAUGGGGAAUCUAUGGAAUGAGAGACAAGCGAAGAGCAGCCAUGUCACACUGGGUCUAGUGUAGGGACGUGCACUCUCUGUGUGGUACACCGUUCUAAAGCACAAAAGGAAAGAACACUUUCUCCACGUGCUGCAGUGUGGAAGAAUGGGGUGUGCCAUAGGAAUGGGUAGCGCCUACCUGCUGGGGGACACAGGUGACCUGAAGAACUGGCAUAUAGCACUCUACCCCGUGGGAUUCCUGGAGGCCUGAUCUCUCACGUAGCUUCAGCAGCUGCAUUGACCAUUGGGAAAAACCUUCUAGAACACCAGUCCCCAAGUGCUGGGGUAUGAAGGGAGAAAUGGGCUUUAGUGGUUUGGAGGAGUAAGUUAGGGCAUAGCUUUGUGAGAGGAAUAGAGGGUCCUGCCUCUUUUAGGAACCAGGCAUAGCCAUUGUCGCAAAUGUCAACAAGACCAUGCUUCUAUCUUAGGCAGGGGACAGAGCUCUGAGACUCUCUGGCUUCCAUGAUUCCCUAUGGCUUUGGUUACUCCUCAGUUUGGUGGAUGCUGGCUACACAGCAGUUUGUGUUGAUAAGAGCUGACAACUAGCCUGCAGAGGAAAGAGGAAACGAUGCUGGAGGGAGGAGAGGCAGAGGGACAACAGAUUAUGGGGAGGGUGACUGAGCCCCCAGCCCUGACUCAGGUAAUGGCAGGAUCCAGAUUGUAUGGUGUGCCUGUUAUCUGUCAACCGAAAGUCUGACAACUUAGAAAAGCAAACAUGCUCAGCUCGCCUGGCCUCGGUGGUGGGGGGAGGGGACUGGGAACAGUUCAGCUAGCAGUUCUGACUGACUGGCCAUCAGACCAUCCUGGUGGUUAUCAAGCUGGUGGUGACAGGCACAGUGGAUGAGGUCUUGCCUUCAAGCCAUACCCACGGCUGGCUACAGGAGGGAGGCAGCGCCUCAUCCCAUGGGCCUUCAAUGACUGCUGUUAACCUAGCUUCUCUCAGGGCGAGUCACCAGACAGAGGUAGAAGCUGACAGCAGUAUAAACAUAGGGUGCAGCAUGGUACCUUUACAAUCCCUUCUGGUUAGUCUUUUGAGGUAUGUGUGUGUGUGUGUGUGUGUGUGUGUGUGUGUGUGUGUGUGUGUGUGUGUGUGUUUUGUUUUUGUCUUUUUUGUUGUUGGUUGGUCGGUUGGUUUUUGUUUUUCUAUUUUUUGGUUGUGUUUUUUGUUUUUGUUUUUGUUUUGUUGUUGUUGGGUAUUUUUUUUUGUCAACUUUAUACAAGCUACAGACAUUUGGGAAGAGGAACCUCAACUGAGAAAAUGCACCCAUCAGAAUGGCUUGUAGGCAACCCUGGGGGACAUUUUCUUGGUUAAUGAUUUAUAUAGGAGGGCCUUGCCCACAGUGGGCAAUGCCACCCCUGGGAAGAUGGGCUUGGAUUUUUUUUUUUUUUUUUUUGGUAAGGAACCAAGGUGAGCAAGCCAACAGAAAACAAACCAGUAGGCAGCAUUCCUCCAUGGCCUCUGCUUCGGUUCCCGGUUCCUGCCUCCAGGUUCCUGCCUUGGCCUCCCCUGGAACCUGAAUUGUAAGAUAUAAGCUGAAACAGACCUCUUCUUCCCCAUGUCACUUUUGGUCACGGGGUUCUAUCACAGCAAGAGAAAACAAGACACAAGUCAAACUUGGAAGUGGCACACCUCCUUUCUCAAUGGCGUUGAGGCCUUGUGCAUCCCCUGAAGAUCAGUAAGGUAAAUGCUUGGCCCAUCGGUGCGGUGGGAGGUUAUGGAGUAUUUAUGAGGUGAGAGGCCAAGAGAAGCCUUUGGAGUCCCUGGGAUUCUGAGGACUGUUGGAACCUCACUCUCUUGUACUCCCUCAGUGAGGCGAAGUGUUUGCUCUACCACACACCCGUCAGUGACACACCAAAACAGGGCCAAAUCCACAAGCUAAGAAGCCUAUGCCCUUGAUAAGUUUGUCACUUUGGACAUUUGUGACAGUGAUAGGAAGCAGGUCAGCAUAUCUCUGCCUUAUGUGACAAGUCUCUCUGAAGGCAGGGCCUUGGGAGUCAGCUUGUGGCAGUAAGAGGCCACUCCUGCCCGGGACGGUAUCUUUAGCCCCAUCCCAGCCAUAAGAGUAGAGUGGCUGGCUCCUGCCUUCUGCUUCAUCUGGCUCAUCUCUCUCGGUCUCAUCUGCGUCUUCCCUGUCUCAUGCAUUGUGCACAGAGCAUGCUUCACUAAUUCUCUCGUCGAAUGAGGAAAUGAACUCAACAGAAAAAGAUCCAACUCUGGUCCUGUUUCAGGGAGCCCAUAGGUCAGGGAACAAGGGAGAGAGAGCUGGUGACUAAAGGCAUGUGGCCCCAUUUUAAGCACCAAAAUAAUCAUGAAUAGAAAAGCUACAGCCCCUUCCCUGGGAAGUGUGAAGAGCAAGAGAUGGGACAGGCCCAGCGUCUCACACAUAAACACGUGAGCACAAAUGAAAGCCUUGUUGGAAAGGAAAGGGCAGGGCAGGUGAGCACAGAGACCCUGGCUUGGCCGCAGGUCCCAGAAGCACCUUUGAGGAGGAGGGUGGCUGGCAGCUUGUCACCAAAUCAGAAAACAAAGGGGCCAGCCUCGGACCUCUCCAAGCUGAGAUUAGCUAGAAAAACCUGUGAAUCACUUACUUUUUUUUUUUUUGUCACAAACACAGUUAAUGCUUGAGAGUAAAGAGUAAAAAGAUUGAGCCCCAAAUUAAACCACGAAGGCACCCUCCCGCCAUGCGCGCUGCACCCCGCAAGGUGUCUUCUUACAGAACUGUAGAGUCGCCCAGAAACAAGCAGCUAAUUAUAGCCCAGCCAUCUGCGGAGCUAAAACAAGGGGCUCAUCAACACUAUCUUUCAGGUUUUUCACUAAGUCAGAACAAUCUGCUAAAAAUAUCCUGUACUGUAUCCGCAACGCCCCCAAACAAUGUGUUUUCCCCGGCACCGCAGCCUGCCAGUUCCCCAUAGCCCUGGAAGCCCAGGGGGGAGCAAGAAGCCCAGCUGGCAGCCGCCAUGUCCUUUCCGUGCCUGGUUUUCAUCCUGAGUGUCGGCACUGGACAGUAGAGGACAGAGAGGAGCGAAAGUUAGGACCGGUUCCCAGCGUGGACCAGAACUCCAGGCAGAUGUCCACUGGGGGAAAAGUUGGUCCUACCUGUGGUUCCAAGGCUCAAGUUUGCUCGUGGGGUACUGCCUAAGUCCUCUCCACGGCAGCAGCAACCGGGAAGAUCUGCGCUGCUCUUUCCGGGAGCCUCCGUGCACCAGGGUUCCAGAUGACGUUUGGUGUUUUCCUCUGGCGUCUGGAUAUGCACAGAGUGCAGUCUCUUCUGGUUUCCCAGAUUUCUGAAACACAAGGUGAGAGAAGAGUUGAAAAUAAAAGGUUAAGAAAAGACAUACAUCUGGAAAGAACCCAGAUGUCCCACAACAGAGGAAUAGAUACAGAAAAUGUGGUAUAUUUACACAACGAAGUACUAUUCAGCUAUCAAAAACAAUGACUUCAUGAAUAUCUCAGGCAAAUGGAUGGAACCAGAAAAUAUCAUCCUGAGUGAGGUAACCCAAUCACAAAAGAACACACACGGUAUUCACUCAAGAUACAAUUCACAGACCACAUGAAGCUCACAAGGAAGGACGACCCAAGCACAGAUGCUUCAGUCCUUCUUAGAAGGAAGAACAAAAUUAUAUUCAUAUGAGGAAAUACAGAGACAAAGUUUGGAGAAGAGACUGAGGAAAGGUCAUUCAGAGCUUGCCCCAUCUGGGGAUCCAGCCCAUAUACACACAGCCACCAAACCCAGACAAUAUUGCUGAUGCCAAGAAGUGCAUCCUGACAGGAGCCUGAUACAGCUGUCUCCUGAGAGGCUCUGCCAAAGCGUGACAAAUACAGAGGCGGAUGCUUGCAGCCAACCAUCGGACUGAGCAUGGGGACCCCAAGGACUAAACACUAACCAAAAGUACACAUGGAGGAACCCAUGGCUCCAGCCGCAUAUGUAGCAGAGAAGAAGCCCUUGGUCCUGUGAAGGCUCGUUUCCCUAGUAUACGGGAAUUCCAGGGUGUUGAGGUGGGUGGGUGGGAGUGGAAGCAUCUUCAUAGAAGCAGGAGGAGGGAAGAUGGGAGAGGGGGGAAAGGGGAUAACAUUUGAAAUGUAAAUACAUAAAAUAUUCAACAAAAAAGAAGAAAAGACACGCAGAGCUAAGAAGAUGUCUCAAUGGAUAAAAUGUCUGCCACACAGCAUGAGGAUCUGAUUUCAAAUCUCCAGCACCCAAGUAAAAUCCAAGCAGAGCAGGAUGUGUCUGGAGUCUCUGUGCUAGGGCAUAAAAAUGUGCAGAUCUCAGAGGAUCACCAGCCACACAGUUUAACCAAAUCCCAGGCUUCACAUUUAGUAAGAGACCCAGCCUUAAAUAUUAGGGUACAGAAGUACAAAAGACAUUCCAACUUCAACCUUAGGCUUCCACUCAUGCCUGCCAGCACAGUUGAGCAUGCCCGUGAGCAUAUGCACAUACAUGCACACACACACACACACACACACACACACACACACACACACACACACACACACAUGCACGAGCACACACAUACCAACAUAUCUAGUAAAAACAUAAAUAAGAAAACAAACGAUACCCCGGUCCAUUUUCCUUUACUAUAAUGACAUAACUAAGGCUGGCUCAUGUAUGAAAAGAGGUUCAUUUAGCUCUGAGUUCUAGAAGUUUAGGGCCUGGUGCUGGCUUCAGCUCAGCUGUGGGGAAGGUGUUGUGGUGGAAGUCAUCAGAGUCUCAGAGCAGAGGCCCAAGGGAGAAGUUCCAGGGUGAGAGGCAGGUAGCCAAGGAGUGGGCUUCCCCAGAGUGGUCUCUGACAUACACACAUGACUCACUGCUGCAGGGUGCUCUCUUAAUAAUGGGACCUGCCGUAAUCAGUGGUACCCGCUGUGUGGAGCUGAGGUACAGUGCCAGCCAUCUUUGUCUGGUCUGACCCCAAGCUGCCUCAUGAAGCAAAUUUACCUUUGGACCUUUACCUCCUGUGGCCACAGAUCCUGGAAAGUGUGAAGAAUGAGACAUGAGAUGCAAGGUGAGGACGGAGGUGCAGCAUGGGUGAGUGGGGGGAUGUGGUCAGCUACAAUUCUUAGCUCUAGACUUAGCAGGCCUUGCAGAGCCCACUCUGGGUCCUGAGCGUCUCUGGUUACCUGCACAACUAGCACCUCCUGAGAGUAAUGAGUGCAGCCAUUCAUAGGCAUUAUCAUGCCUCUGUGUGGUGUGUUUUCUGUAUGACAACACGAUUCUCUAACUUGGGAAAGUUUAGUUAGCUCUGAGUUCUGCUGAGGGACGCUGGUCCAGCCUGUCAGCAGAAGCACCACAGUGGCACUGGAGCAUGUGUAGAAGGAAGAGAGCUGCUCAAGGGAUGAAUGUGUUCCCACAGACUCACUGUUUGAGGGGUCCCAAGAGUGCUGUCUUGUAAUCCCUUCUGAGGACAGCACCCCAUGGGAUAGGUAAGGGCUUGCCACUAGACUACCUCCUAAGGGUCCCACUGUCUCUACACCUUAUGCACCAAGGUGUUGUGGUUUGCCCUGAAGUUAUCUGUAUUUGGAUGCUAAGUCCACUGCCCCAAAGACAGCAGCCUAGUCACGUACUCAGGAAUCAGGUGACUUCACCAGAACCACUUCCCCAUUUUAUUUGUACUGUACAGGUGAGGGGCAGGUACAGGAUAGAAGGAGGCCUGUCAUUGGAGGAGAAGGAAGGUGGGCUGGAGAGAAGUUUGAAGGAAGAGGAGGAACUAGGGGAGAAAGGAAGAGACAGGAGGAGGAGAGGGUGAGAAGCCAUGGCAGGUGAUGUUAGGAUUCCGCUCUGUGUAUUUACAGGUUGUUAUCAAUGUUCCUAAGGGAUGGAUGGUACCGGGCUUUGUAUGUUUUAGUGGGCAAUUAUAUCUUAUCAAUUGGAUCUAA
This is a long non-coding RNA of Rattus norvegicus (Norway rat), 6401 nucleotides long. RefSeq lists it as uncharacterized. The record is from RefSeq and is a predicted model, not a curated record. NCBI's taxonomy places the organism in Eukaryota, Metazoa, Chordata, Mammalia, Rodentia, Muridae.